Molecule: long non-coding RNA, 224 nt
Filed under: Mytilus galloprovincialis (Mediterranean mussel)
Lineage: Eukaryota; Metazoa; Mollusca; Bivalvia; Mytilida; Mytilidae
Source: RNAcentral
CAGAUAUUUUGGUGCUUUUUUCAGCCACUUUGCCUGCGAUUCCCGAACCUUUCUUUGAGAUGCAACAAUGGCCAUGGGGAAGAGCAAUGUGUUCUAUCUUAGUUUUUCUCCAAUAUUUAGGAGUUGAUGCCUCAUCGUUGUCCAUAACAGCGUUCACAAUAGAACGAUACAUAGCAAUAUGUCAUCCUAUGACGGCACAACGCAUGUGUACUAUACGAAGGGCC